UAGAUAGUGGCGGACGGGUGAGUAACGCGUGGGUAACCUACCCAUAAAUCCGGGACAACCCUUGGAAACGAGGGCUAAUACCGGAUAAUCUUAGAUGUUGGCAUCAACGUUUAAGGAAAGGUGGCCUCUGAAGAUGCUACCGAUUAUGGAUGGACCCGCGUCUGAUUAGCUAGUUGGUGGGGUAAAGGCCUACCAAGGCGACGAUCAGUAGCCGGCCUGAGAGGGUGAACGGCCACACUGGGACUGAGACACGGCCCAGACUCCUACGGGAGGCAGCAGUGGGGAAUCUUCCGCAAUGGACGAAAGUCUGACGGAGCAACGCCGCGUGUAUGAUGAAGGUCUUCGGAUUGUAAAGUACUGUCUUUGGGGAAGAACGGUCUCUUUGAGAAUAUUGAGGGGACAUGACGGUACCCAAGGAGGAAGCCCCGGCUAACUACGUGCCAGCAGCCGCGGUAAUACGUAGGGGGCAAGCGUUGUCCGGAAUUAUUGGGCGUAAAGGGCGCGUAGGCGGGCGUUUAAGUCCGGUGUGAAAGAUCAGGGCUCAACCCUGAGAGUGCAUC
Molecule: ribosomal RNA, 560 nt
Filed under: sulfate-reducing bacterium enrichment culture clone 1-0-otu1-11
Lineage: Bacteria
Description: bacterial SSU rRNA
Rfam family: Bacterial small subunit ribosomal RNA
Source: RNAcentral